RNAcentral lists this long non-coding RNA (486 nucleotides) under Onthophagus taurus. RNAcentral describes it as "uncharacterized LOC111418466". The record is from RNAcentral. Lineage: Eukaryota; Metazoa; Arthropoda; Insecta; Coleoptera; Scarabaeidae.
GUUAUUCAAGAAAACUAAUAAAUCUUUACCCACAAGUUAUGUUAAAUAAUAAAAUAAAAUUAUCAUCCGACUCACUGUGAAAAAUAAUGGAUUGAAGUUCAAUGUGGUAUCUGGAUUAUGGAUUGUCUCUUGUGUUCGGGGCACUAACUAAUUUUCUGGAUUGUCUACAGGAUUCUUCUUACGGGAACUUGAACUGUUUGUUCUUCGGAAAUAGGGUCUUGGAAUGGUCUCGAAGAAGUAUCGGUAGUUCUUGGAAUAGGUUGUAGGAUGAUUCUCUUUUAUUUUAAUAUUACAUACAUUGGAGUACACGCCAAAUUUCAAUAAUGAGUAAAGUUAGAAAAAUUCAAAUUUAAAUCAAGGAUUUCUUCCUCAAAAUAACGUUAAAACCUCAAAAGAUGGAUGAAAAAUGUGCUUUAGGAGCUGAACUGUAAUAAUUGAUACUUUUGGAAGUAAACAAAACGGUUUAAGAUAAGAUUUUCACCAACA